This 88-nucleotide transfer RNA is filed under the name Candidatus Thorarchaeota archaeon. Its description in RNAcentral is "tRNA-Leu". It matches the Rfam family "tRNA". Rfam says of the family: Transfer RNA (tRNA) molecules are approximately 80 nucleotides in length. Their secondary structure includes four short double-helical elements and three loops (D, anti-codon, and T loops). Lineage: Archaea; Promethearchaeati; Candidatus Thorarchaeota. The record is from RNAcentral.
GCCGAGGUAGCCAAGCUAGGCCAACGGCGAAGGACUCAAGAUCCUUUCUCGUAGGAGUACGCGAGUUCGAGUCUCGCCCUCGGCACCA